RNAcentral lists this unclassified non-coding RNA (285 nucleotides) under uncultured fungus. Its description in RNAcentral is "partial contains small subunit ribosomal RNA, internal transcribed spacer 1, and 5.8S ribosomal RNA". The stretch from base 1 to 73 matches the Rfam family "Eukaryotic small subunit ribosomal RNA", at positions 1759 to 1831 of the family's 1831-position model. The record is from RNAcentral. Lineage: Eukaryota; Fungi.
UCAAACUUGGUCAUUUAGAGGAAGUAAAAGUCGUAACAAGGUUUCCGUAGGUGAACCUGCGGAAGGAUCAUUAUCGAGUGUUGACCGAAAGGUCGCCUCCCACCCCUUGUGUACCAACCUGUUGCUUCGGCGGGACGUCGGUUUCUAUACCGCCGUCGGCGUCAGCGGGCGUGAGCCUGCCGGAGGUCAACCAAACUCUGUUCUAGGCCGUCUGAGUCUGAAAUGAAAUGAAUCAAAACUUUCAACAACGGAUCUCUUGGUUCUGGCAUCGAUGAAGAACGCAGC